AACGAACGCUGGCGGCAUGCCUAACACAUGCAAGUCGAACGAGACCUUCGGGUCUAGUGGCGCACGGGUGCGUAACGCGUGGGAACCUGCCAUUAGGUUCGGAAUAACUCCCCGAAAGGGGUGCUAAUACCGGAUAAUGUCUUCGGACCAAAGAUUUAUCGCCUUUGGAUGGGCCCGCGUUGGAUUAGCUAGUUGGUAGGGUAAAAGACUACCAAGGCGACGAUCCAUAGCUGGUCAGAGAGGAUGAUCAGCGACACUCGGAAUGAGACACGGCCCAGAAUCAUACGGGAGGCAGCAGAAGCGAAUAUUGAACUAAGGGCGAGAGCCUGAUCCAGCAACGGCGCCUGAAUGAUGAAGCCCUUAGGCUGGUAAAGCUCUUUUACCCAGGAGGAUAAUGACAGUACCGGGAGCAUAAGCUCCGGCUAACUCCGUG
This 433-nucleotide ribosomal RNA is filed under the name uncultured bacterium. Its description in RNAcentral is "partial 16S ribosomal RNA". It matches the Rfam family "Bacterial small subunit ribosomal RNA", at positions 29 to 507 of the family's 1533-position model. The record is from RNAcentral.